RNAcentral lists this ribosomal RNA (253 nucleotides) under uncultured bacterium. RNAcentral's name for it is "partial 16S ribosomal RNA". It matches the Rfam family "Bacterial small subunit ribosomal RNA", at positions 524 to 776 of the family's 1533-position model. The record is from RNAcentral.
UACAGAGGUCCCAAGCGUUGUUCGGAUUUACUGGGCGUAAAGAGCGCGCAGGCGGUUGGGUAAGUCGAAUGUGAAAGCCCCCGGCUCAACUGGGGAGGGUCAUUCGAUACUGUCCGACUCGAAGGCAGGAGAGGGAAGCGGAAUUCCCGGUGUAGUGGUGAAAUGCGUAGAUAUCGGGAGGAACACCAGUGGCGAAGGCGGCUUUCUGGCCUGUUCUUGACGCUGAGGCGCGAAAGCCAGGGGAGCAAACGGG